Molecule: long non-coding RNA, 1617 nt
Filed under: Rattus norvegicus (Norway rat)
Lineage: Eukaryota; Metazoa; Chordata; Mammalia; Rodentia; Muridae
Description: long non-coding RNA NONRATT019675
Source: RNAcentral
GAAGAGUUAUCCAGACUAUGGGGAAGGACCUGACACCAAUCACACCCUCCAGGUGAGUAGAUGAAUCACACCUUAGGUAGUUUUCAAGAGAUGCAGUUGUGUGGAGGGUAGCAUGUGGGUCUCUAGCUAAAGGAGUAUGUAGCAGUUGCUGCUGUUGUUACAAUUGAUCUGAACAUUUUCUGCUGCACUUACUGUCUGACUUGUAAACAUUUUUUGUCAAUCUGCUCAGUUCAGUGAUCAUGUAAUUUGAAUUUUCUGAGAAAGGUAUAGUGGGGUAAAUUAAUUUGAAAGCUAAACUAAAACCUUAUACUUUAUUCAGAAUAAAAGUUUGAACUUUUGUUUGCUUUUUGAGAAGUGGGUCUUGUCUUGGCUGGCCUGGAAUUCACUAUAUAGAGCAAACUGGCCUGGAACUCAGAAGUUCAUCUGCCUCUGCUUUUACCAUUCCUGAAGUACUGAAUCCUCAGAUGUUAGGACCUUGGCUUAAUUUAAGCAGGUUUUGUUACUGAGCGGAGCAAAGCAAGAUUAGAACCAAUUACUUUAGCUAGUGUUGGGUUUUCAGAGAACCCUAAAUUGUUGGCAAGCAUCUUUUUGUACCAACAGUGGUUUCAGUAUUGAACUGGCAUCUGCCUUCACUGUGGUCGUCGCAUCAAACAUUGGCCUUCCCAUCAGCACAACACAUUGUAAGGUGGGCUCUGUGGUGUCUGUUGGCUGGCUCCGAUCCAAGAAGGCUGUUGACUGGCGACUGUUUCGAAACAUUUUUAUGGCCUGGUUUGUCACCGUCCCUAUUUCUGGGGUUAUCAGUGCUGCUAUCAUGGCAGUGUUCAAGCACAUCAUUCUGCCGGUGUGAAGCUGAGCUCAGAAUUGUGUCAGUGUCUGGGACCAUCGCACACACCCCUGUUCCUAAAGAAUGCUCAGUGUUGCUGAAGAUAGGCCAGGGUUUUAAAGUGGGGGAGCUGUGGGAAGGAAGUGUAAUUUAUACUAUAAUUGCUUUUGUGCUAAAUAUGACUUAUCUCAAAAUUAGCUGUGUAAAAUAGCCAGGUUUCCAUUGAUUCAUUCUAAGGUCCCUUUUCUCCUGGGCUAUGACUUCCUGUACAUAUUUCUCUACUUUUGUAUCAGGCAUCAAUUCCAUUAUGUUUUAAUGUCGUCUGUGAGAUAACUUAAUGUGGAUUCUUUUUAAACAGCCAAGCAGAGCCAUUUGAUGGCAUAUACUGCUUUGUUGGCCUCACCAGCUUCUUCCCCAGCGUGCACAGGGAUUUAACAAACAUGUAACUGAAGCUUCCCUUGUAGUCUCUCAUAGAAAUAGUCACGGCACUCUGCUCCCUGUCACUAGUGGCAGGUUCUGUUGACAUGUGACAACUUCUUAGAGGGCCGAGAAUCUUUGGCACAGUGAAAAUUUAAGUUUGUAGUAACUUCUUUGCAAACAGUUCGUGGACGUGUUGCUAAGAAGUAGGAAGACAAAGCCUGGUGGUUGUGGUUAUUCUUUUGAGAUUUCUGGCAGUGUGGGAUGGGUGAAUGAAGUGGAAUGGGAACUUUGGGCAAAUUCAAUGGGACAGCCUUCCAUGUUCAUCUGUCUACCUCUUAACUGAAUAAAAAGCCUACAGUUUUUAGAAAAUUUGU